CCUACGGGAGGCAGCAGUGAGGAAUAUUUGUCAAUGGACGAAAGUCUGAACCAGCCAAGUAGCGUGAAGGAUGACUGCCCUAUGGGUUGUAAACUUCUUUUAUGUGGGAAUAAAAUGUUCCACGUGUGGGAUUUUGUAUGUACCAUAUUAAUAAGGAUCGGCUAACUCCGUGCCAGCAGACGCGGUAAUACGGAGGAUCCGAGCGUUAUCCGGAUUUGUUGGGUGUAAAGGGAGCGUAGGUGGAUUGUUAAGUCAGUUGUGAAAGGUGGCGGCUCAACCGUAAAACUGCAGUUGAAACUGGGAGUCUUGAGUACAGGAGAGGUAGGCGGAAUUCGCGGUGUAGCGGUGAAAUGCGUAGAUAUCACGAAGAACACCGAUGGCGAAGGCAGCUCACUGGACUGUAACUGACACUGAGGCUCGAAAGCGUGGGGAGCAAACAGGAUUAGAUACCCGUGUAGUC
RNAcentral lists this ribosomal RNA (460 nucleotides) under uncultured bacterium. RNAcentral's name for it is "partial 16S ribosomal RNA". It matches the Rfam family "Bacterial small subunit ribosomal RNA", at positions 338 to 795 of the family's 1533-position model. The record is from RNAcentral.